UAUAAAGCUGGGAAAAGGAAUAGUAGAAAGAAUCUCGUUUAAGAGAGUGUAUGGUUGGUGUGAAUACACACGAAGACUUUUGAACUCACCUUUGAGUUGUUUUACUGAACGUGCUACUUUUAUUAUAGUGCUAGUAAGUAAAACCGGUGACGAUCGUUAGCACGUUUGAGAUUAAUAAUAAUUUUGCAUUAUUAAUAAAUUUAGGUGGUACCACGUGAUCAACGUCCUAUGA
This 232-nucleotide non-coding RNA is filed under the name Melissococcus plutonius. RNAcentral describes it as "T-box sequence". It matches the Rfam family "T-box leader". From Rfam's summary of the family: Uncharged tRNA acts as the effector for transcription antitermination of genes in the T-box leader family. T-boxes are found upstream of many aminoacyl-tRNA synthetase genes and some amino acid biosynthetic genes usually in Gram-positive bacteria. The record is from RNAcentral. Lineage: Bacteria; Bacillati; Bacillota; Bacilli; Lactobacillales; Enterococcaceae.